Molecule: ribosomal RNA, 182 nt
Filed under: Vibrio alginolyticus
Lineage: Bacteria; Pseudomonadati; Pseudomonadota; Gammaproteobacteria; Vibrionales; Vibrionaceae
Description: partial 16S ribosomal RNA
Rfam family: Bacterial small subunit ribosomal RNA
Source: RNAcentral
CUUAAAUUGAAGAGUUUGAUCAUGGCUCAGAUUGAACGCUGGCGGCAGGCCUAACACAUGCAAGUCGAGCGGAAACGAGUUAUCAGAACCUUCGGGGGACGAUAACGGCGUCGAGCGGCGGACGGGUGAGUAAUGCCUAGGAAAUUGCCCUGAUGUGGGGGAUAACCAUUGGAAACGAUGGC